Molecule: long non-coding RNA, 575 nt
Organism: Frieseomelitta varia
Lineage: Eukaryota; Metazoa; Arthropoda; Insecta; Hymenoptera; Apidae
Exons: 2
Source: RefSeq, a predicted model, not a curated record
UCGUCGAGUGCAAGUGCACGCGUACCCGCGACUCGUUUCCAUGCCCCUGUCUCCUCUGAUUAAGUAAUUGCAGCACAGAGGUUUGCGGCCCGGUUGAAAGUUUUGCUGAAUCUGUCGGCGCGUUCGUAAGCGUGAAAUAACGUCGAACCUCAAGAUGCGAAGAUAUACGAUUAUCGUGGAAGAUUCUACUGUAAAAAUCAAAAGAAGUAGAACUUAAUCCUCAUUGGAAUAGCACGAAGUGGCCAUUUCCAAAACGUUGGAGACAUCAAUGCCUCGUAGAACGUGCGCCAUGUGAAAGCAUUCAGUUCACGUUCAGAUUCUCCUACAACCCUAAUGUCAGGAGAAUGAAUCUUGUGUUUGCAAUUCAAGAAUGCAUUCAACAAUACAAGAAUGUAAUUCAAGAAUUCAAGAAUGCAAUUCAAUGGACAAUUUAAAAUACAAGCCCAAAGAAGCAUUUCUUUUAUACACGCUUAUAACUCGAUUCUUUCAUCCGUGAAAUUUGCAAUAUUUUUCAUUGAAUCCUGUAUCGAGCAAACGUGAAAUAAAUUAACCGCGAAGAGUUGUUAAAAAGACGA